GCAUUGGUGGUUCAGUGGUAGAAUUCUUGCCUUUCAUUCAGGAGACCCAGGUUCAAUUCCCAGUCAAUGCA
Molecule: transfer RNA, 71 nt
Filed under: Loxodonta africana (African savanna elephant)
Lineage: Eukaryota; Metazoa; Chordata; Mammalia; Proboscidea; Elephantidae
Rfam family: tRNA
About the family: Transfer RNA (tRNA) molecules are approximately 80 nucleotides in length. Their secondary structure includes four short double-helical elements and three loops (D, anti-codon, and T loops).
Source: Rfam by way of RNAcentral